This 468-nucleotide ribosomal RNA is filed under the name uncultured bacterium. Its description in RNAcentral is "partial 16S ribosomal RNA". It matches the Rfam family "Bacterial small subunit ribosomal RNA", at positions 28 to 507 of the family's 1533-position model. The record is from RNAcentral.
GACGAACGCUGGCGGCGUGCUUAACACAUGCAAGUCGAACGGAAAGGCCCGGCGUUUGUGGGGUGCUCGAGUGGCGAACGGGGGAGUAACACGUGAGGAACCUGCCCCUGACUUUGGGAGAACUUCAGGAAAAUGGGGCUAAUACAGGAGAGGAGCUCCUGCUGCAUGGGGGGGGAUGGAAAGUUUCGGCGGUGGGGGAUGGACUCGCGGCUUAUCCGCUUGUUGGGGGGGUAGGGGCUGCCAAAGGCUUUGAAGGGUAGCCGGCCUGGGAGGGUGGCCGGCCACCUUGGGACUGAGAUACGGCCCAGACUCCUACGGGAGGCAGCAGUGGGGAGUAUUGCGCAGUGGGCGGACGCCUGAUGCAGCAGCGCCGCGUGCGGAAUGACGUCCUUCUGGUUGUAAACCGCUUUGGCCUGUGCCGAAGCGUGAGUGACGGUAAUGGGUAAAGAAGCACCGGCUAACUACGUG